RNAcentral lists this ribosomal RNA (441 nucleotides) under Prolivatis hainanensis. RNAcentral describes it as "partial 16S ribosomal RNA". The stretch from base 315 to 441 matches the Rfam family "Bacterial large subunit ribosomal RNA", at positions 2473 to 2600 of the family's 2925-position model. The record is from RNAcentral. Lineage: Eukaryota; Metazoa; Arthropoda; Insecta; Hemiptera; Delphacidae.
UUUAAAUAGCCGCAGUAUUUUGACUGUGCAAAGGUAGCAUAAUAAUUAGUCUUUUAAUUGAGGUCUAGAAUGAAUGGUUGGACAAGAAAAUUACUUUAUUUUAUUUAUUUUUUUUAAUUUAAUUUUUUAGUUAAAAAGCUUAAAUUUUUUUUGGGACGAUAAGACCCUGUAGAUCUUUAUAAUUAUAAAAUUUUUGAUGUUUUUUUUUAUUAUUUAGUUGGGGUGAUUAAGAAAUUUUUUUUACUUUUUUUUGUUGUCAUUUAUUUAUGAAUUUUUGAUCUUUUUUUUUGAUUAUUAGAGUAAGAUACCUCAGGGAUAACAGCGUUAUAUGUUUUGAAAGUUCUUAUUAAUAAACAUGUUUGCGACCUCGAUGUUGGAUUAAAUUAUGGUUUUGGUGUAGGUGAUAAUUGACUAGGUCUGUUCGACCUUUAAAAAUUUACG